This 499-nucleotide ribosomal RNA is filed under the name uncultured bacterium. RNAcentral's name for it is "partial 16S ribosomal RNA". It matches the Rfam family "Bacterial small subunit ribosomal RNA", at positions 29 to 506 of the family's 1533-position model. The record is from RNAcentral.
AAUCAACGCUGGCGGCGUGCCUAACACAUGCAAGUCGAACGCGAAAGCCCCGCAAGGGGUCAGUAGAGGGGCAAACGGGUGAGUAACACGUGGGGGACCUGCCUUCGAGAGGGGGAUAACGUCCCGAAAGGGACGCUAAUACCGCAUGACAUCCUGCUUUGGAAAAAGCGGAGAUCAAAGCUGGGGAUCGCAAGACCUAGCGCUUGAAGAGGGCCCCGCGCCUGAUUAGCUAGUUGGUGAGGUAACGGCUCACCAAGGCAACGAUCCGUAGCCGGCCUGAGAGGGUGGACGGCCACACUGGAACUGAGACACGGCCCAGACUCCUACGGGAGGCAGCAGUGGGGAAUCUUCCGCAAUGGGCGCAAGCCUGACGACGCAACGCCGCGUGGGGGAUGAAGAUCUUCGGGUCGUAAACUCCUGUCGAGCGGGACGAACGCUUGGCGGAGUAACAAUCCGCGGCAUGGCCGGAACCGAUAAAGAAAGCCCCGGCUACCUCCGU